CUCAUGGCUCUACUACUGGGAGACGUGGGCGUAAGACUCCUCGAGAGUCAGAUACUCUCGAGGAGCGAGAAAGGAAGCGGCUGCGAGAUAUCUUUGCAGAACCAUCUGACGAGGAUUCUUUUGAGGGGUUUACUGAGAGAAUGGAGGAAGAGCUGGUUAGCUCGGAAGAGGAUGACAUGGAAUGGACUCGUGUAAGGGAGGAUUUGGGUGCCACUGGCAAUGAUAGUAUGGAAGGCGAUUGGGGACCUUCAGGAUUAGACCCGUGGACAAGCUGGAGGGAUGGGACGGGAUCCACAGCUGGGGAUGCUGUGGGGCGUAGUCAAAGGUGUUCCAGUUCUGAUGAGGAAAGUGAUGAGGAAACGCCCGGGCUAAGGAGAACAGCUGAUAGCGAUGAGGACUUGUAACUGGCAUAAAAUGGGGUUUGGGAGCAAUAGCAAAUUGCGUUGGGCAAGGUAAUCUGGACGAACGCUUGGGAUCUGUGUGGGAAGUUUUCCUGAAGACGGGUGUGAUUCGUUUGCUGACUACCUUUGACCUUCCGUCGUCUUCUUGACGGACGCCAUCUGCUUACUCUGGACUUACGGACUGACUGACUACGGCCUCGGAUUCUCCUACCUGUGUCUAUCGUUGGAACUGGUGAACUACAAACGUCUGCAUCUGCCUUACGACCUUCGGAACGGAUUGGGACUUCGCUGACUGCUUCUGCCCUCGUCUGCUGUGUUUGUAUCGGGAAAUUGCCUGCUGUGUGGAGGAGUAACCUCUAAGUUACUCAAACAUAGCUCUUGGCAGCAGAGAAGCAUCUGCUGCCAAUUAGUUGCAUUCCUUUGAACCUUUUGUUCACCAGCUUCUGUUUGUUUAUUCCCAGGCUGAAGCAAGCUGUUUUGAUUUAACCCGGAUUAAACUCCGGUUUAAUCCGGUUUAUCUUUUGAACGUUUUUCUUGUCUCUUUUUACUUUUAAGGCCAGUGUUUGCCUAGCCCUUGUCUUUUACGGGCAUUUUUGGUUCUGUAACUCCAAUAAACUUUGUUAUCUUUUA
Anolis carolinensis (green anole) is the source of this 1031-nucleotide long non-coding RNA. RefSeq lists it as uncharacterized. NCBI's taxonomy places the organism in Eukaryota, Metazoa, Chordata, Lepidosauria, Squamata, Anolidae. The transcript is spliced from 2 exons. The record is from RefSeq and is a predicted model, not a curated record.